CCUACGGGAGGCAGCAGUGAGGAAUAUUGGUCAAUGGACGAGAGUCUGAACCAGCCAAGUAGCGUGAAGGAUGAAUGCCCUCUGGGUUGUAAACUUCUUUUAUAUGGGAAUAAAACGUUCCACGUGUGGGAUUUUGUAUGUACCAUAUGAAUAAGGAUCGGCUAACUCCGUGCCAGCAGCCGCGGUAAUACGGAGGAUCCGAGCGUUAUCCGGAUUUAUUGGGUUUAAAGGGAGCGUAGGUGGAUUGUUAAGUCAGUUGUGAAAGUUUGCGGCUCAACCGUAAAAUUGCAGUUGAAACUGGCAGUCUUGAGUACAGUAGAGGUAGGCGGAAUUCGUGGUGUAGCGGUGAAAUGCUUAGAUAUCACGAAGAACUCCGAUUGCGAAGGCAGUUCACUGGACUGCAACUGACACUGAGGCUCGAAAGUGUGGGUAUCAAACAGGAUUAGAUACCCUGGUAGUC
RNAcentral lists this ribosomal RNA (460 nucleotides) under uncultured bacterium. Its description in RNAcentral is "partial 16S ribosomal RNA". It matches the Rfam family "Bacterial small subunit ribosomal RNA", at positions 338 to 795 of the family's 1533-position model. The record is from RNAcentral.